This 231-nucleotide ribosomal RNA is filed under the name Sphingobacterium athyrii. Its description in RNAcentral is "Sphingobacterium sp. M46 partial 16S ribosomal RNA". It matches the Rfam family "Bacterial small subunit ribosomal RNA", at positions 1 to 222 of the family's 1533-position model. The record is from RNAcentral. Lineage: Bacteria; Pseudomonadati; Bacteroidota; Sphingobacteriia; Sphingobacteriales; Sphingobacteriaceae.
UACAAUGGAGAGUUUGAUCCUGGCUCAGGAUGAACGCUAGCGGCAGGCCUAAUACAUGCAAGUCGGACGGGAUCCAUCGGAGAGCUUGCUCAAAGAUGGUGAGAGUGGCGCACGGGUGCGUAACGCGUGAGCAACCUACCUCUAUCAGGGGGAUAGCCUCUCGAAAGAGAGAUUAACACCGCAUAAUAUAACUAUUCGGCAUCGUCUGGUUAUUAAAUAUUUAUAGGAUAG